This is a long non-coding RNA of Cydia strobilella, 815 nucleotides long. RefSeq lists it as uncharacterized. The record is from RefSeq and is a predicted model, not a curated record. The transcript is spliced from 2 exons. NCBI's taxonomy places the organism in Eukaryota, Metazoa, Arthropoda, Insecta, Lepidoptera, Tortricidae.
AAUUGAAGAUCAAACGAACUUACCAAGUGAAGUUCGAUCGAAAUUAUGUGAACAGCUUCAUUCGACGCGAUUUAAAGUUAACAUAGUGUAGUAGCACCCCCAAGCAUCAGCCUUGCACGGUUUUUUAAAGUUUUGUACUGGCAACAUUUAAAAAGAAAAAAGUUACCCCUUCCACUACUCCCACCUGGCGACGGUUGGAACCGCCAUUUUUACUUCAUUUGUUUACAGCAUAAUUUAAACGCAUUUAUUUCACAUCAAUAUUAAUGUGGGUAGGGCGUUAGUUAAUAUUGUGUACCCAAUAUUUAAGUUUAGAGGGCGGGUUGUUAUAAAUCGCGUCGAAUGAAGCUGUUCACAUAAUUUCGAUCGAACUUCACUUGGUAAGUUCGUUUGAUCUUCAAUUAUGUUUCACAGCUUCAUUCUUUGCGAUUUAAAGUUAACAUAGUGUAGGAUGUUCAGAGCAUGUCAAUGUGAAAUAAAGCGUGAAGGAUCCAAGGAUUUACCUAGGUCUCCGGCAGAAGAGAGAAUUGAGCGAGCGAAUUGAUUACAAUCUGUGAUUAUUUCCUUAUGAUAAUAUUUGGCAAAUACACAUGAGGAAUCAGUCCAUCCUGCCGUCUUACGGAUUAGGUCAAGACUUACACCCAUCUUGUUGGCAGUGGAUGUGGCAGAGUGACGAGUGCUAUGUGCAGUGAAUAUGGAAGUAUCUAUUCCACUAUCGCGCAGUGUUGUUUUUAUCCAAGUACUUAGCGUUUGAGAUGUGACUUUAUUGUGCGGUUUUUUGUAACUUAUAAAUAAAGAAUGGUUAUUUGAAUGGCGGA